RNAcentral lists this ribosomal RNA (457 nucleotides) under uncultured bacterium. RNAcentral's name for it is "bacterial SSU rRNA". It matches the Rfam family "Bacterial small subunit ribosomal RNA", at positions 340 to 789 of the family's 1533-position model. The record is from RNAcentral.
UACGGAAGGCAGCGGUGGGGAAUAUUGCACAAUGGGCGCAAGCCUGAUGCAGCCAUGCCGCGUGUAUGAAGAAGGCCUUCGGGUUGUAAAGUACUUUCAGUCGUGAGGAAGGUGUUAAGGUUAAUAACCUUAGCAAUUGACGUUAGCGACAGAAGAAGCACCGGCUAACUCCGUGCCAGCAGCCGCGGUAAUACGGAGGGUGCGAGCGUUAAUCGGAAUUACUGGGCUAAAGGGCACGCAGGCGGUUAAUUAAGUUGGAUGUGAAAUCCCCGGGCUUAACCUGGGAAUGGCAUUCAAGACUGGUUAGCUAGAGCCUUGUAGAGGGGGUAGAAUUCCAUGUGUAGCGGUGAAAUGCGUAGAGAUGUGGAGGAAUACCGGUGGCGAAGGCGGCCCCUGGACAAAGACUGACGCUCGAUGUGCGAAAGCGUGGGGAGCAAACAGGGAUUUAGAUACCCGU